This 121-nucleotide ribosomal RNA is filed under the name Melopsittacus undulatus (budgerigar). The record is from RNAcentral. Lineage: Eukaryota; Metazoa; Chordata; Aves; Psittaciformes; Psittaculidae.
GCCUAUGCCCACACCACCCUGAAAACACCCAAUCUCAUCUGCUCUCGGAAGCUAAGCAGGGUCAGGCUCAGCUAGUACUUGGUAUGGAGGACGACAGCUGAAGUACAAAUAUGGGGAGGCC